CGUGGUAUUUUGAUCUGAGUUAUGACCAUCAUUGUACUUCCUGGCAUAGACUCGUAGAGUGAAGUUGGCCGGCAUAGAAGGACUACAUUAAUUACUCCACCAUAGCUGCAAGGCUGGUAAGGCAAGCACUGAAGCCAGAAUUCAGAGCGGAAGCAA
Molecule: long non-coding RNA, 156 nt
Organism: Schistocerca gregaria
Lineage: Eukaryota; Metazoa; Arthropoda; Insecta; Orthoptera; Acrididae
Exons: 2
Source: RefSeq, a predicted model, not a curated record